GGGGAAUUUUGGACAAUGGGCGCAAGCCUGAUCCAGCAAUGCCGCGUGAGUGAAGAAGGCCUUCGGGUUGUAAAGCUCUUUCGUCAGGGAAGAAACGGCUGAGGCUAAUACCUUUGGCUAAUGACGGUACCUGACGAAUAAGCACCGGCUAACUACGUGCCAGCAGCCGCGGUAAUACGUAGGGUGCAAGCGUUAAUCGGAAUUACUGGGCGUAAAGCGUGCGCAGGCGGUUUUGUAAGUCUGACGUGAAAGCCCCGGGCUUAACCUGGGAAUUGCGUUGGAGACUGCAAGGCUUGAAUCUGGCAGAGGGGGGUAGAAUUCCACGUGUAGCAGUGAAAUGCGUAGAGAUGUGGAGGAAUACCGAUGGCGAAGGCAGCCCCCUGGGAUAACACUGACGCUCAUGCACGAAAGCGUGGGGAGCAAAC
RNAcentral lists this ribosomal RNA (425 nucleotides) under uncultured bacterium. RNAcentral describes it as "bacterial SSU rRNA". It matches the Rfam family "Bacterial small subunit ribosomal RNA", at positions 356 to 773 of the family's 1533-position model. The record is from RNAcentral.